AAACCAGCACCUCAAGUAGUCAGGAGGAUUAUUGGGCCUAAAGCAUCCGUAGCCUGUUCUGUAAGUUUUCGGUUAAAUCCAUUAGCUCAACUAAUGGGCCGCCGAAAAUACUGUAGAACUAGGGAGUGGGAGAGGUAGACGGUAUUCGGUAGGAAGGGGUAAAAUCCUUUGAUCUAUUGAGGACCACCUGUGGCGAAGGCGGUCUACCAGAACACGUUCGACGGUGAGGGAUGAAAGCUGGGGGAGCAAACCGGAUUAGAAACCCGGGUAGUCC
RNAcentral lists this ribosomal RNA (274 nucleotides) under uncultured bacterium. RNAcentral describes it as "partial 16S ribosomal RNA". It matches the Rfam family "Archaeal small subunit ribosomal RNA", at positions 473 to 747 of the family's 1478-position model. The record is from RNAcentral.